This 1343-nucleotide unclassified non-coding RNA is filed under the name Hevea brasiliensis (rubber tree). The record is from RNAcentral. Lineage: Eukaryota; Viridiplantae; Streptophyta; Magnoliopsida; Malpighiales; Euphorbiaceae.
AGAAACUCCAUUUUUUCUCUCUGCCAAUUUUUCAUUCCUUCUCUAUUCUUCAAUAGUUGAUGUAGUGUUUUUUUGAUUCUUGUGGGUUUUUUUAGUGCAGAAAGUUCCGUCACUUUACCGAUCAUCUGAUUCUCAGAAUUUCCUUACUAGUGCAUUAAAGGCCUUGGUUUGUCAUAAUUGGCCAAGAUGCAAAGGAACAGAAGCAUACUAGAUUCCUAUCCAGAAACUGUCGAUCUUAAUCAGGGAUCUACUUCAAGUAAUGCUUCUGGAGAUCCGACAUCCUCUUGGGAUAGCUUGCGAAAUUCAAUGGAGGGUCGAUUAUCCGAUUCCAUGCUUUCUUCUGCUAGAGGAAGUCUUAGACGUGCUGAUGGUAUUAGUUAUAACACACAGAACUGCAGUGCACGGGAUAAAGGCGAGUCGAGCUCCAGUGCCAAUUUGCAUGGCAUUGGACAUGCUUGGCCGUCUUCAUCAAGUGAUCAUGUGCUGACUAAUUCAAAUUCAGAAGAGAGGCGAUUUGGACCAUCCAAUGCCCUCCAUCCUGACAGUUCAACAAGUAUUUAUGGUGGAAAUCAUUUGAUUGGCAGCCCUACUAUCUUACCAAAUCUGGCCUCGGCUCACAGUCCUGCAAAUGCUAACUUAAGUGGCAUAUACAACAAUGGUGACACUCGGCUGGUUAUGAGACCAAGUGUAUCUUCAACUGUCUACACUUCAAGCAGCAGACGGGAAGCGGAGCGUCCUGCUUCUGGUGUCUCUUACAAUGCUGGUACUUCUUCAGGUGGUUUGCAUUCAGUUCCCCGGAAUGUAUCUCCUAAUUCACGAGGUGGUAGUUCAUCAAGUCUAAAUGUGGUUUCCCCUGAUAGUGAGGAUGAAGCUAACUUCUGGAGCUCAAUAAGAAAUAAUAGGGUACCUCUUCCAGUUGUUCCAGCUCCUGAGACUGGAAAUAUGGUACAGGAUUCAACUAAUUGGAGUUUAGCUACUUCAAAUGCAAGUUAUCCCAGAAACAUGCCUUCUAGUUCUGCACUCAGCCGUGGGCCAAGUAUGCAAACUUCUACUACUGCAAGGACACCUUAUCAGAACUUAGCAACCAGAAGUACUCGUAGUUCUUCAGAAAUUUCUCCUAGGACUCUCCUACCUCCUGUUGAGUCCGACUAUGGAAGUCAGAGAGGUAAUUUUCCCCUGCUAUCAUCAGCUGCUUCUCCCGUGGAGGAGGCAGAGAUAUCAUUGCGAUCUAGUAGCCAGGGAUCUAGUAGCCGACGUAAUCAUCGAAACCACCUAAUAUCAUCUUUAAUGACCAAUUUUCCAAGUAAUGAAGUGGGUGGAUCGCGUGGUUUAGCUUCUGAUAU